UACGUAGGGUGCAAGCGUUGUCCGGAAUUAUUGGGCGUAAAGAGCUCGUAGGUGCCUGUCGCGUCGGCUGUGAAAACUCGGGGCUCAACUCCGAGCUUGCAGUCGAUACGGGGCAGGCUAGAGUUCGGCAGGGGAGACUGGAAUUCCUGGUGUAGCGGUGAAAUGCGCAGAUAUCAGGAGGAACACCGGUGGCGAAGGCGGGU
Molecule: ribosomal RNA, 203 nt
Filed under: uncultured bacterium
Lineage: Bacteria
Description: partial 16S ribosomal RNA
Rfam family: Bacterial small subunit ribosomal RNA
Source: RNAcentral